Molecule: long non-coding RNA, 9962 nt
Filed under: Homo sapiens (human)
Lineage: Eukaryota; Metazoa; Chordata; Mammalia; Primates; Hominidae
Description: HSALNT0123120
Source: RNAcentral
CCGGAACCCGAGGCCCGGCCUGGGGCGCGGCUGCUGGGCGCUAGGCCCGCGACGCUGAGGUGCGCGCGCCCCGGGCGGGAGGAGGGGCUGCACCGCCUGGCGAAUGGGAGGGGGACUGGCAGGCUCUCCCUUCCCAAGGGAGGUCGUCCUGUCGCCCUAGACUAAACCCAGGAAGGCUUUUAAAAGAAGCAGAGUCUCCGCGGGGGGAAGCUUGUUCCCUGAGAGGUGGCCGCAGACGAACCCACUGCUCAGUCUGGCAUCCCGAAGCCGCUCCGCUCCUGGCUCUCCCCGCUGUUCCUGCGCGCAGCGGGGGCAGUGCCCCCACACCCACGCGUGAUGGGAAGGCCGGCCUGGGGGUGGGAAGGCCCACCGAAAUAGAUGGUCCCCACACCUCACUGCUUCCUUGGAUGUGGCUAUUUUUUAUGCCAGUGUUCUCCUGCUCUGACCCUACUUGAACUUGACCGCAACCGGCCCCGCCUUGCAGGCCACCCUCCCGCAGCAGAAAACUGUGCGGAGCUCGCGCUGUCCUCGCCUCCGCUGACCCCACCUCCAUGUCCUCACAGACACUAUUUUUUCACAACACAGCUCAGAUCCCACCUUCUUCAUGAGGUUAUUCAACAAACACUAUUAAACUUGUAAGAUGUACCAGAUCCUGAGUUGGAGGCUGAGAGGAGGACAAGAAAACUGCUCCCGUAGCCUAGAGGGAGGGAGAGUCGCUUAAACCACCUGAUGCAGAAUGCUGAGUGCGGAGACCAGGAGGGAACAUCGGGUGGUGAUGGCCUCCAUGAUCCCCCAGAGAAAGGGUGUGACUUGAGUGCCUUCUUCCUCUGUGCUCCCCAGGGAGCAGCAGCAUCAGAGUGCUCCCAGGGUGCCAAAGGGACACACUGGACCAACUGGAGACCCUGGGCCCCCUGGAUUCACAGCUGACAAUGGAUUGAGGUGGGUAUAGAAGAAGUCAAGGAAAAGCCCCUGUCAUGAAGAGUUGGAUGGAGACAGGCACAGAGUGGCCGCAGGUCCAAGCAGAGUGAACAUGCGUCCAAACUGGCAGUGGCAGCCCCUAGAAGGGAGACACCAACAGCACCGAGAUCUGUGGUCUCCAGAGCUGACAUCUCCUGCACUUGCCACGUGCAGGCGCUGUGCGGGACCUCCUCUCCAUCCUGUGAGGGUCUCCCUGAACUCAGGGUCCCAAUGGAUUUCCUGGCCCCAAAGAGCCCCUGGGCACCCUGGGAAUGACAAGCUGCCGGGACACUCAGGCCAGAGAGGAAAGGUGGUGAGGGAGACCCCUGGCCACCAAUUCUCAGGAGGCCCCUCAAAUGCCAAAGCUGUCUGGGAGGCCCACAGAGACAUUUUCUGAGCAGAACAGAGCCUGCCCUAAUGCUGUCCACACCCACGGGCCGAGGCUUGAUGUGACCUUGUUCCUCUUCUGGAGCCCAGGCAUCUACCCUACAGCACCCACUGCACUCCCCCCUUUUCCUCUCAGGGUUUCCAAGGGGAGAGCAGCCCCCGUGGCCCCCCAUAUGUGGUGGGACCUCAGCUAGGUCUGUUCCCAGGAGAGAACGGCUCCCAGACCCUGGAGUUAAGUCUGUCUGGCUCUCUUCUCUCAGUCACACACCCCUGCCUCUGGCUCGCAUGUCUGGAACAGGUAGCUGGGGACUUGAGGGGGCUCAGAAAUCUCUCUUUUUAAUUUGGCAGCACGGAUGGCUGUCGCUCCUCACCUCUCCUUUUCUUUUAGGGUGUCCAUGGGGUUCAAGGGAAGGAUGUUCCUGGUCUGAGGGGCUUCCCAGGAGAGAGAGGCCUCCUAGGCACUGCUGGUGAAAAGGGCCCCAUUUGUCUGCCUGGCUGUGAUAGGGUGCAGAGUCCUGUGUGACUUCCUGGUCCUGCUGGGCCUCCAGGUGUGGCUGGAGAAGAUGGAGACCAAGAGGAGAACCCCAGAGAACCCGACCAAUCUUCUCUCCACAUGAGAGGGCUGAGGGCCCUCCUGGACCCCCUGGACUCACUGGUCCAUGGAACAGCCUGUAGCAGUGGGAGCAGAUUGGGAGCCCAGAGCUCAGGGACCCCAGGGACACUUUGGAGCCAGAGUGUGGGGAGCCAAAGGCAAUAAAGGUAGAACAGGAUUCAUGAAUCUAUAGGGACUACCUGGACCCAGUGGCACUGGUGUGAGUCAUCCCAGCCCCUGCCACUUCAGAGCAAUGAGGUCCACAAGAUCCCCUGGGAGGUGUUGGGGCCCUGGGUCCCCCUGGAGAGAAGCCAGGAGAGUCAGGAUCUCCAGGAAUCCAGGGUGAGCCGGGUGUCAGGGUCUUGGUUUUCCUGGAGACCCUGGCCCCCCAGGAGAAGGUGGCUCAUGACCAGGACAGUGUUAACGGUGACUAUGGCAAGGAUGGUGAGCCAGUACAGCCCGUGAGUGACCAAUGUCCCUGCCACCCCCACUGAGCUCCAGCCUUCAGCCCCUUACCCCUCUUUUCUGUGCCCUACUCCUGAGGGGUCCCUUAGCUGGAGGCCAACACUCACCCACCCCAAUUCCUCUCAUUCUGUGGAUCCUCUGGUCCCACUGGGGAGAAUGGACUACCUGGACCACAUGGAAAGCAGGUAAGUGAGGUAGAAGACCCUGGGACCUUGGGAGGUAGUCGCUGGGAAAUGUGGGUAGAGGCUGGGUGGUGACAGGUGGCACUGACAGGGAGAUGCCUGGUGUCUGUGCUGUCCCUGGAUGUGGUGUGUUGCAUGAGCACAUGGGUUUAUGAGUGUGUUGUGUCUCGGGCAUGUUGCUCCUGGGUUUUUGUGAGCAUGUUCUCACCAGGGCUGGUUACAUGUACUGGCCAAUCAGAAUGGACACUGGAGGAGGGGCUGGCCGGCUUCUCUGCUGGGUCAGGGAUUAACCUGGGCCACUGGGUGGGGCGUGGUUAAGGGGUUCUUCCCCAAGCAUCCAUGCUCCUCAGCAUUUUCACAACGGACACAGCUCCAUCUGUUCUGAACUCACACUCUGCUUCUGUGCCUGUGUGUGCAGUGUGUGCAUGCAGUGUGUGCAUGCAGGGUGUGCAUGUGUGUGUGUGUGGAGUAUGUGUGCAUGUGUAGCACAGGAAGGGGAAGAGUGGAGCCUGGCUGUUCAGGACCUCAAGUUUUCUCCCUUCCUGUCCCAUCUGCAGGGUCAGCUAAGAAUAGCCAUGACUCAAGGGUCAGCUAAGAAUAGUCAUGACUCAAGGGUCAUUUAGGACACAGGAAGAUACCAGAUGAGGAAACUCUCCCCAAGUCCUAAACUCAUUCACAAAUUAGAACACAUAGGUCCAGCCCAGGCACAGUGGCUGAAGCCUGGAAUCCUCCCGCUUCCUGCUUCGGGAGACCAAGGCAAGAGGAUCUCUCGAAGUGUGAGUUGGAGGCCAGCUUGGGCGACACAAUCAGGAAAAGCAAGUGGCCACCAGGUGGCGCCCAAGAACUGGGCCCGAGUUCCCUGGGAGGAAUCUGCACGCAGCCCUGGGAUGGCACAGGGAUGCCUCACGGGACACCUGGCCUCGUCCUGGUAGCCCCUUGCUUGCAUUUCCCGGCCCUGGGGUGUCCUCCCCGACUGCACAUGCAUGUAGAGACCAUUCCUCCUUCUCCAAAGAGGGAUUUGGAACAAUUCUCACAUGACCUGACGAGGGACAGUGGCUGUGCUCAGGGUCCCUCUUUUGUCCUCAGAGCAUGACCAGGCCUGUGGCUCUUGCUCAUUGCCCAAGAGCAUGGGAGGUUGCCCGUGGCAAGGCCCUGGAGGACCCUGCUGUGCUGCCUGGGACCAGGAGGCCCGGCUGCCUUCUCCCAGCACCUCUCCCAGUUAGGGUACUGUGCAGGAAAUGGGUGCAGAGGCCAUAGUGGUGGCUGCUCCUGGGGUCCCAGCAGCUCUAGCUGAGGCAGGAGGAACCAGGGAGCCCAGGAGGCUGAGGCCCCUGUCCUACUGCUCUGGUCGUGCUGCAGUCUCUGUCACCACCAACAACUGCAGUGAGGUGAGCCACUGGGCUGCAGGCUCUAGCCUCCAGCCUGUGACAGAUGCCUCCUCUUUCUGACUCCUCCUGUAGCAGGGCACGGAGAAGCUCUCGCUCAUCGCUGCCUCCUACCACUCCGAACAUGCUGCAGUCUCGUUGACCACGCUGCAGUCUUGGUGGCCACCACCAACUGCAGGGAGCCUGGCCAGGUGCCGCAAGUUGCAGCCUCCACCUCCUCCUCUAAGUCGGGCUUGGAGCAGCAGCGGGAGCAGUCACAGAAGAGGCUGGAAUGGUGGAAUGCACCCUCAGUAUGCAUUAUAUAUAGAGGUUUCGGCAAUGAGGGCCUGGACUUUGUGUUCUGAUUGGAUGGGGGAAACCUCUAGGCUUUAUCUUCAUGCCCUGAUUGGUUAUCCUAAGAGUUGCUCUCAUCCAGUCUUCUUUAUAAGUGGUCAUCUUUGUAAGUUCAUGCCCACUGGGAGUUACUGAAGUUGUGAAUGAUUACAUUUAAACUUAUCCUGUAAUUUUAGUCUGAUUUAUUAAUUCCACCUAUCUCCUUAAGCAAAUUAUUCUCUAUAGUGAUGACCCAAGCAAAUUCCUGUCCCAAGAUGGUAUCAAGAUGAUACCCAAGUUCCUCUCCAGAAUGGUAUCUGGAUAUAUGUGGAGGGAAAUAUUUUUUCUAGGCCUGUAUUAAAUAUGGCACUAAAGCUUAGUGGCUUAAAACAAUACACUGUUAUUAUCUCACAGCUUCUGUGAAUAAGUAGUUCAGGAGAGUGUAGCUGGGUGAUUCUUGCCAAGAGUCUCAUAAGGUUGCAGUCAAUCUGUUGGUGAGAAUUGUAGUUACUUGAAGACUUGGAGUUGAAGAAUUUAUAUCAAAGAUGGCUUACUUAUGGCAAUUGGAUGGAAGCCCCAGUUUCAGAAUGGCUGCUGGCAACAGGUCUUUUUACUUGCCACAUGGACCUCUCCAUAGGCUGACUGAAUGUCCUCCCAAUGUGUCAUCUGGCUUUCUCCAGUGCAAAAGAUCAAAGAAGAGAGUAUGAAGGAACCCGUAAUGCUCUUUAUAAUUUUGUCACAGACCGUCACUUCUGCCAUACUCUAUUGUUUAGAAGUUAGUCAUUAAGUCCAGCCCACACUCAAAAGAACGAGAAUUAACCUCCACCUUUGGAAGAGAGGCUAGUCAAAGCACUUGUGGACAUGUUUUGAAACCACAAAGGGGUAUGGCUGCCAGUCUCCAAGAUGGCCGCCAGUGAUUCUCAUCAGCUGUUAUUAAUACAUUUGUAUAGUCCCUUCCCACAAGAAAAAAGAGUUGAUCUGUUUAAUUAGUAUUAUUUUGUUGAAAUGACAGAGUCUGACUUGCAAGUUUAGGUCAUAAGAAGAAUUUUGACUUCUGCCUUAUUCUCUAUUGGAUCAAUAUCCCUAGGGGAAGCUAGAUGCAAUGUCAUGAAAUCAUUCAAACAGUCCCAUGGAACAAUCCAUCUAGCAAGGAACUGAUAUCUCCUAGCAAUAGCUGGCAUUAACUUACAAGUCGUAUGAGUGGGCCAUCUUAGAAUUGGAUUCUUCAGUCCAAAUCAAGUCUUCAGAUAACUGUAGCCCUGGCUGACAUCUUGAUUACAUCCUCAAGAGAGACCCUGAGCCAGAAUCACUCAGUUAAGCCACUGAGUUCUUUUUGCCAAAAACUUUUUUUUUACCAAGUUCUUUUUGCCACCAACUUUAUUGAGGUAUAAUUGACAAUUAAGAUUGUAUAUAUUUAAGGAAUACAACUUGAUGAUUUGAUAUACACAUACAUUGUGAAAUAAUCGUGAUAAUUAGGUUAACAUAUUCAUUACUUCACAUAAGUACCAUUUUCGUGUGUGUGUGUGUGUGUGUGUGUGUGUGUGUGUGUGUGUGUGGUGAGAACACAUGAGAUGUAUCCUCUUAGAAAAUUUCAAGUAUACAAUAUAUUAUUGUUAACUACAGUCAUAUUAUUGUAUACUAUGUCUCCAGAACUUAUUCACCUUGCGUAACUGAGAUGCUGUACCCUUGACCAAUGUCUCCCCCUUUUCUUCUCCCUCCAGCCCCUGGUAACUACCCUUCUACUUUCCAGUUCUAUACAUUUGACUCUUUUAGAUUCCACACAUAAGUCAAAUUUUUGACCCUUAGGAGCUGGGUGAAUAAUAAAUAUUUAUUGUUAUUUUCAGCCUUAUGAUUUUAAGUUAAUUUGUUAUGCAGUAAUAGAAGUUGCCACAUGAAGCUAUGACACUGGUUAACUCAUUUAUUCAGUAAACAUUUGCUAAGAGCAGACUAAGUGCCAGGAUCAAUUUUAUAAUUGGGGGUACAGGGUUAAGUCAAAAUGGCAGACUAGAAGCAGAUCAUGUGCACUGCUGUCAUGGAGAGGAAACAAAAUGGCUAGUGAACACUGAUCUUGCCAUGUGAUCCCCUAAGAAACCACAUCAGCAUCCAUGAAGGCAGCAAGGGGACACAGAGAGGAGAGAGGAGUGAAGCUGAGCAGCCCAUCUGUGAUCAGCAUGGAGCUAGAAGAAGCUCCCAAACAUAGGGAAAGAGUAAGUGAUUGAGAGCCCCUGGGGGAUUCACAGUCUUCACAGGGACCUGUGCAAGCCUUGGAACAGGAGAAUCUCUUUGACCCACUCCCUGCACCUCUAAGCCAAUGCAGAGAGCCACCCAGAGUUUUGUGGAGGCAACUCUCAAGUCCCUAGGGACUGCUGGAAGCCUUGGACCCUGGAACAGACCAGCACCAGUGCCAUAGCCCCAACAGAGGCUGCAGUCAUGGUACCCGAGGGCAGUAAGAUUGCUCCACCCCAAAUCACUAGACAAAGUUCAGCACCAGCCUCUGGCCCAAUGGUCCUGCUUCUGUUUUCACUUCACCAACAGGUUCAGCCUCCUGUUCCUCCAGGAAACACCCAAACAACAGGAUAGGCAACUUCACCCAAUCCCUGCCAGUUGUAGCCAGGCAGGCCAUACCUGCUAGAGCUUCCAGCCCCGUGGUACCACUUCUGUCUGAAUUCUGCUGACAAGCACAGUCUCUUGUUCUCCUAGGAAACACCUUAAUGGCAUGGUGAGUGACUCCACCCACUGCCACUGCUCAAGGCCAGCAGCCCACACCUGCUAGAGUUUCCAGCCCAACAGUCCUGCUUUUAUAUGAACUCUGCAGGUGGGGGCAACUCCAUGUUCCCCUGGGAAGCAGCUGGACAGCAGAUUAGGUGACCCCACUCAUCCCUGCAACUCCUAGCCAAGCAGUUCUUGCUGGCUUGGGUGGUGCCCAAGCAGUGGGGGAGUCCUCACUCUUGCAUCACUAAAAGAAGUGAGAUGCCCAAGUUCACAGGUCAGUGGAGGAGUGGGUUGUGCCUCCCUCUGUACAGCCAUUCCGGAAAGGAUAUGACCUGUUUGCCAACUGUGGCCCCUGCAUGAGGAAGCCCCAUGGACGAGAACACCUAAUAAAAGAAAUACAGGCAUGGAGUCAGUGAUCAGAGGGGGCUCUUCCAAGGCUUAGGGGUGGACAAGGUGAGGGGGUCAUCUCUACCCCACCCCCUAAAAAGCACUAUGCUAACUUGAGGAAAACACAAAAGAGCUGUGCAGCUGAGAAAAGCCUAUCUGCCUGUCCGCUGGCUAACACUUUUAAGUGCCACCUACUGGAUCACAGCAGAAAAUACAAUACAAAAAUAUUUUGCCAGUACACAGCACCUGUGAAAACUAAGGCAAAGAUUAAGCAACAAAUAAACAUUCUGUACAUACUCGUGACCCUCUGAAAACACCCUAAAAAGAAGCCAACUGACUGUACUCAACUUACAUCACAGUUAAAGGAACACUAACCCUUACACAUGAAAAAGAAUCGAUGCAAAAACUCUGGCAACUCAAAAAGCCAGUGUGCCCCCUUACCUACAAACAAACACACUAGUCCCCCAGAAAUGGUUCUUAGCCAGAUUGAGAUGACUGAAAUGAUGGAAAUAAAAUUCAAGAUCUGGAUGGCAAGGAAGAUCGAUGGGAUCAAAGAGAAAGUUGAAUCCAAGGAACCCAGUAAAACAAUCCAGGAGCUGAAGGAUUAAACAGCCAUUUUAAGAAAGAACCAGCUGGGUGUGAUGGCUCACGCCUGUAAUCCCAGCACUUUGGGAGGCCAAGGCGAGUGGACUACUUGAGGUUAGGAGUUUGAGACCAGCCUGGCCAACAUGAUGAAACCCUGUCUCUACUAAAAUACAAAAAUUAGCUGGGCGUGGUGGCACACAUCUGUAAUCUCAGCUACUUGGGAGGCUGAGGCAGGAGAAUCACUUGAACCCGGGAGGUGGAGGUUGCACAGGCUGGAGUGCAGUGGCACGAUCUCGGCUCACUGCAAGCUCUGCCUCCCAGGUUCCCACCAUUCUCCUGCCUCAGCCUCCCGAGUAGCUGGGACUACAGGUGCCCGCCACCACGCCCAGCAAAUUUUUUGUAUUUUUAGUAGAGACGGAGUUUCACCAUGUAAGCUAUGAUAGUCUCCAUCUCCCGACCUCGUGAUCCGCCUGCCUUGGCCUCCGAAAGUGCUGGGAUUACAGGUGUGAUGGCUCACGCCCAGCAUUUUUUUUUUUUUUUUUUGAGACAAAGUCUCGCUCUGUUGCCCAGGCUGGAGUGUAAUGGCACAAUCUCGGCUCACUGCAACCUCCCCCUCCCAGGUUCAAGCAAUUAUCCUGCCUCAGCCUCCUGAGUGGCUGGGAUUAUAGGCACCCACCACCAUGCCCAGCUAAUUGUUGUAAUUUUAGUAGAGAUGAGGUCUCACCAUCUUGGUUCGGCUGGUCUCAAACUCCUGACCUCAGGUGAUCCACCCACUUCAGCUUCCCAAAGUACUGGGAUUACAGGAGUGAGCCACCAUGCCCAGCCCCACAAAAAUUUUUAAAAAAGAAUUAAAAAGUGAAUAAAAUCUUUUGAGAAAUAUAGGACUAUGUAAAAAGACCAAACCUACAUUUCAUUGGCAUUCCCAAAAGAGAAGUAACUUGGAGAAUAUAUUUGAAGACAUAGUCCAUGAAAAAUUUCCCAAACUUGAUAGAGAGGGGAACAUACAAAUUCAAAAAAUACAGACAACCCUACAGAUACUACACAAGAUGACCAUCCCCAAGGCACAUAGUCAUCAGAUUCACCAAAGUCAAAGUAAAAGAAAGACAUCUUAAAGGCAGCUAGAGAGAAAGGUCAGGUCAUCUGUAAAGGGAACCCCAUCAGGCUAGCAGUAGACGUUGCAACAGAAACUUUACAAGACAGAGGAGAAUCAAGGUUUAUUUUCAGCAUUCUUAAAGAAAAUAAUUUCCAAGCAAGAAUAUUGUGUCCCACCAAACUAAGCUUCAUAAGUGAAGGAGAAAUAAAAUACUUUUCAGAUAAGCAAGUACUUAAAGGAGUGCUAAACAUGAAAACAAAGAACUGAAACAUGCUCCUUCAAAAACACACUCAAGGACAUAGCCUACAGAGAAUGUAAAGCCACCACACCACUAAGUCUACAAAAUAAACAGCCAACAACAUAAUGACAAGAUCAAAAUCUCAUAUAUCAAUACUAACCCAGAAUGUAAAUGGUCUAAAUGCCCGACUUAAAAGGGAUAGCAUGUCAAGUUGGACAAAAAGACAAGCCCCGAUAGUCUGCUGUCUUCAAGACACCCAUCUCUCGUGUGAAGAUACUCACACGUUCAAAGUAAAAGUAUAGAGUAGAUCUACCAAGCAAACAGAAAACAAAAAAGAGCAGGAGUCAUUAUUUUUAUAGCAGAUAAAACAGAUUUUAAACCAACAACAAUCAGGAAGGAUAAAGAAGAGCAGUACAUGAUGAUAAAAGGUUUAAUUCAACAAGAAGACCUGACCAUUCUAAACAUACACGUACCCAAUAUAGGAGCACCCAGAUUCAUAAAACAAAUUUUUCUUGACUAACAAAAAGACUUAGACAGUCACACAAUAAUAGUGGGGGACCUUAACACCCCACUGGCAGUGUUAGAUCAUCAAGGCUGAAAACUAACAAAGAAAAUCUGGGCUUAAACUCGACAUGUGACCAAUUGAACCUAAUAGAUAUCUACAGAG